Long non-coding RNA from Carassius gibelio (silver crucian carp), 978 nucleotides. RefSeq lists it as uncharacterized. The transcript is spliced from 3 exons. Lineage: Eukaryota; Metazoa; Chordata; Actinopteri; Cypriniformes; Cyprinidae. The record is from RefSeq and is a predicted model, not a curated record.
UUUUAUUAAGGUUAUUGUAAAGGCUUCUUAAAAAUGCUGUCGCUGAUGAGCCUCUGAUCGCUGUCAGAUUCUGUGAUAUGAAUGUCCGCUAAUGGGUUUAGAAUGAGCCCCGCUCGGCCAGUGUUCUGGCUUACUGUAAUAUUUCACCUGUAAUAAGACCGAAAUAAUAUAAUUAAAAUAAAGAAAUGAAUGAAUACAUGAUAACAUCUAAAUAAAUGUUGAUAGAUUUAGCGUUAUAGUUUUAAAAAUAUUAAUAAACAGCAAAUCAACACAGAAAGACCUAAAUAAUAAUAAUACAUAAUUAAUAAACAGCGCCGCCCCUCCCACUACGCGCAUCACGCGCUGUGCGUCAACCCCAAAGCGUCAAAAACUGAAGCGUGGUCAAGCGCCUCUAGCGUCACUGACAUGAGAUGUUUAUCGCUUUGAAAUGACGUUCAAGAAGUCUCAUUCAGCACACAUCGCGAUACUUUCCAUCAGUUUGCAAGAGCCGCAGGUUGGGUGAGUUAUACAGUCUAUGGUGAGUAGUAGUAAAUAUGCUCUUUUAAUGCCUGUCCUAAAACGUAUUCUGUCUUCUUUAUUAAUCAGAUGAGCGCCUUAUGUUUACUCUCUGUAUUACAUCGGUCAUCCGAGGCUGUCUUUGAGUUUCAUUGUGUUUAACUAAAUGAACACAGCUGCUAACUGGUUAAACUCUAUCGGUCACGUGACGUGACGUGACGUGCCACAGACCUGGGAUCCGUUUUAUAUUCAUUUCAGGUUCAAAGAUCUGAAAAGACGUAAAGUAAGCAGUCACCCCAGUGGUGUUUGUGGAGAGGUAUUCCUUCAGAAAUGGAGAAGACAGAAAGCUGCAGAGGCAGGAUUGUUUGCAGAUAAUGCUGUUCUUCUUUUUCAGAAGUUUUUGGGGAGCCAACCCUCACAAACCUUCCUAAAAACUAAAAGAGCUAUUACUGAGUCUCAGCGACUCUUGCCACAAUCAGCUCU